This 24-nucleotide non-coding RNA is filed under the name Arabidopsis thaliana (thale cress). Lineage: Eukaryota; Viridiplantae; Streptophyta; Magnoliopsida; Brassicales; Brassicaceae. The record is from RNAcentral.
UGGUGAAUAAGCCGAUUGUUGUAA